CCUACGGGUGGCAGCAGUAGGGAAUCUUGGACAAUGGACGCAAGUCUGAUGCAGCAACGCCGCGUGAGGGAAGAAGGCUUUCGGGUUGUAAACCUCUUUUGGUAGGGAAGAAAGGUAGACGUAGUAACUCGCCUUUGUUAGACCGUACUUACUUAGAAAGUCACGGCUAACUACGUGCCAGCAGCCGCGGUAAUACGUUGGGGGCAAGCGUUGUCCGGAUUUAUUGGGCGUAAAGCGAGUGCAGGCGGUUUAAUAAGUCUGAUGUGAAAGCAUUGGGCUCAACCGGUGAAUUGCAUUUGAAACUGUUGAUCUUGAGUGCAGGAGAGGAGAGCGGAAUUCGUUGUGUAGCGGUGAAAUGCGUAGAUAUAAGGAAGAACACCAGUGGCGAAGGCGGCUCUCUGGACUGCAACUGACGCUGAGGCUCGAAAGCGUGGGUAGCGAACAGGAUUAGAUACCCGGGUAGUC
This 465-nucleotide ribosomal RNA is filed under the name uncultured bacterium. Its description in RNAcentral is "partial 16S ribosomal RNA". It matches the Rfam family "Bacterial small subunit ribosomal RNA", at positions 338 to 795 of the family's 1533-position model. The record is from RNAcentral.